UGCAGUCGACGCUGAGCUGGGUGCUUGCACCUGGUGGAUGAGUGGCGAACGGGUGAGUAAUACGUGAGUGACCUUCCUUGGACUCUGGGAUAAGCCCGGGAAACUGGGUCUAAUACCGGAUACGACCAGUCCUCGCAUGGGGUGCUGGUGGAAAGGGUUUGUACUGGUUCUUGAUGGGCUCACGUCCUAUCAGCUUGUUGGUGAGGUAAUGGCUUACCAAGGCGACGACGGGUAGCCGGCCUGAGAGGGUGACCGGCCACACUGGGACUGAGACACGGCCCAGACUCCUACGGGAGGCAGCAGUGGGGAAUAUUGCACAAUGGGCGCAAGCCUGAUGCAGCGACGCCGCGUGGGGGAUGACGGCCUUCGGGUUGUAAACCUCUUUCAGCAGGGAAGAAGCGAAAGUGACGGUACCUGCAGAAGAAGCGCCGGCUAACUACGUGCCAGCAGCCGCGGUAAUACGUAGGGCGCAAGCGUUGUCCGGAAUUAUUGGGCGUAAAGAGCUCGUAGGCGGUUUGUCGCGUCUGCUGUGAAAGCCCGGGGCUCAACCCCGGGUGUGCAGUGGGUACGGGCAGGCUGGAGUGCAGUAGGGGAGACUGGAAUUCCUGGUGUAGCGGUGAAAUGCGCAGAUAUCAGGAGGAACACCGAUGGCGAAGGCAGGUCUCUGGGCUGUUACUGACGCUGAGGAGCGAAAGCAUGGGGAGCGAACAGGAUUAGAUACCCUGGUAGUCCAUGCCGUAAACGUUGGGCACUAGGU
RNAcentral lists this ribosomal RNA (757 nucleotides) under Rothia koreensis. Its description in RNAcentral is "bacterial SSU rRNA". It matches the Rfam family "Bacterial small subunit ribosomal RNA", at positions 56 to 821 of the family's 1533-position model. Lineage: Bacteria; Bacillati; Actinomycetota; Actinomycetes; Micrococcales; Micrococcaceae. The record is from RNAcentral.